Non-coding RNA from Erythranthe guttata (spotted monkey flower), 218 nucleotides. The record is from RefSeq and is a predicted model, not a curated record. NCBI's taxonomy places the organism in Eukaryota, Viridiplantae, Streptophyta, Magnoliopsida, Lamiales, Phrymaceae.
UUUCCUUUGGCAAUUAUCACAAGGUGCUAUUGCCGCUUCUGUUUUUCGCGAUUGGGUGCUGCAUAUCAUGAGAAAAACGAGCCAAAUAUGAGAUCAAUAAUAGUGCAGGUCUGUCAAGAACUCCUUUUCCAAAAGCAUGAUAAUGGAAAUUGUGGACUUGAACAAAAGAUGUAAUUGUGGAGCCUGUCAAUCAAUAUCAUUCUCUGUUUAAAUCAAAA